UGGGGAAUUUUGGACAAUGGGGGCAACCCUGAUCCAGCAAUGCCGCGUGUGUGAAGAAGGCCUUCGGGUUGUAAAGCACUUUUGUCCGGAAAGAAAUGGCGCUGGUUAAUACCUGGCGUCGAUGACGGUACCGGAAGAAUAAGCACCGGCUAACUACGUGCCAGCAGCCGCGGUAAUACGUAGGGUGCGAGCGUUAAUCGGAAUUACUGGGCGUAAAGCGUGCGCAGGCGGUUUUGUAAGACAGGCGUGAAAUCCCCGGGCUUAACCUGGGAAUUGCGCUUGUGACUGCAAGGCUAGAGUGCGUCAGAGGGGGGUAGAAUUCCACGUGUAGCAGUGAAAUGCGUAGAGAUGUGGAGGAAUACCGAUGGCGAAGGCAGCCCCCUGGGACGUGACUGACGCUCAUGCACGAAAGCGUGGGGAGCAAACAGGAUUAGAUACCCUGGUAGUCCACGCCCUAAACGAUGUCAACUAGUUGUUGGGGAUUCAUUUCCUCAGUAACGUAGCUAACGCGUGAAGUUGACCGCCUGGGGAGUACGGUCGCAAGAUUA
RNAcentral lists this ribosomal RNA (548 nucleotides) under uncultured bacterium. RNAcentral's name for it is "bacterial SSU rRNA". It matches the Rfam family "Bacterial small subunit ribosomal RNA", at positions 355 to 896 of the family's 1533-position model. The record is from RNAcentral.